This 371-nucleotide ribosomal RNA is filed under the name uncultured organism. RNAcentral's name for it is "bacterial SSU rRNA". It matches the Rfam family "Bacterial small subunit ribosomal RNA", at positions 526 to 896 of the family's 1533-position model. The record is from RNAcentral.
CGUAGGGUGCGAGCGUUAAUCGGAAUUACUGGGCGUAAAGCGUGCGCAGGCGGUUUGUUAAGAUAGGCGUGAAAUCCCCGGGCUCAACCUGGGAACUGCGCUUAUGACUGGCAAGCUAGAGUACGGCAGGGGGGGUGGAAUUCCACGUGUAGCAGUGAAAUGCGUAGAGAUGUGGAGGAACACCAAUGGCGAAGGCAGCCCCCUGGGUCGAUACUGACGCUCAUGCACGAAAGCGUGGGUAGCAAACAGGAUUAGAUACCCUGGUAGUCCACGCCCUAAACGAUGUCAACUAGGUGUUGGAUGGGUAAAACCAUUUAGUACCGGAGCUAACGCGUGAAGUUGACCGCCUGGGGAGUACGGCCGCAAGGUUA